GGGUUGUGAGGUUAAGCGACUAAGCGUACACGGUGGAUGCCCUGGCAGUCAGAGGCGAUGAAGGACGUGCUAAUCUGCGAUAAGCGCCGGUAAGGUGAUAUGAACCGUUAUAACCGGCGAUUUCCGAAUGGGGAAACCCAGUGUGAUUCGUCACACUAUCAUUAACUGAAUCCAUAGGUUAAUGAGGCGAACCGGGGGAACUGAAACAUCUAAGUACCCCGAGGAAAAGAAAUCAACCGAGAUUCCCCCAGUAGCGGCGAGCGAACGGGGAGGAGCCCAGAGCCUGAAUCAGCAUGUGUGUUAGUGGAAGCGUCUGGAAAGGCGCGCGAUACAGG
RNAcentral lists this ribosomal RNA (335 nucleotides) under Salmonella enterica. Its description in RNAcentral is "partial 23S ribosomal RNA". It matches the Rfam family "Bacterial large subunit ribosomal RNA", at positions 1 to 363 of the family's 2925-position model. Lineage: Bacteria; Pseudomonadati; Pseudomonadota; Gammaproteobacteria; Enterobacterales; Enterobacteriaceae. The record is from RNAcentral.